RNAcentral lists this unclassified non-coding RNA (347 nucleotides) under Chytridiomycota sp. RNAcentral's name for it is "partial contains small subunit ribosomal RNA, internal transcribed spacer 1, and 5.8S ribosomal RNA". The stretch from base 1 to 47 matches the Rfam family "Eukaryotic small subunit ribosomal RNA", at positions 1785 to 1831 of the family's 1831-position model. The record is from RNAcentral. Lineage: Eukaryota; Fungi; Chytridiomycota.
AAAGUCGUAACAAGGUAACCGUAGGUGAACCUGCGGUUGGAUCAUUAACAAUAAAGACGAUACGGAUUCGAGUAGUGACUUUAGUGUCACUAUCCACCGAACGCCGAGACGUACUUGGACCCCACUUGUGAAUCGUAAACGUACUUUGGCAGCCCUCCAAAAACCCCUCUUUCUUUUUUUAGUUGGAGGGAUGGGCUGUCAGCUUAAUAGUUAAACACCUGUUUUAUUAUCAACGAGUUUUAAUGAGCAGCGAAAAGACCUUUUUCUUUGAAAGGGUUGCUUCAAAGCUUCAUUUCUGUAUUGAAAUGACUUGAAAACAACUUUUGACAACGGAUCUCUUGGCUCGC